GACGAACGCUGGCGGCGUGCUUAACACAUGCAAGUCGAACGGAAAGGCCCUGCUUGCAGGGUACUCGAGUGGCGAACGGGUGAGUAACACGUGGGUGAUCUGCCCUGCACUUCGGGAUAAGCCUGGGAAACUGGGUCUAAUACCGGAUAGGAGCCAUUUUUCGUGUGGUGGUUGGAAAGUUUUUUCGGUGUAGGAUGAGCUCGCGGCCUAUCAGCUUGUUGGUGGGGUAAUGGCCUACCAAGGCGGCGACGGGUAGCCGGCCUGAGGGGGUGGACGGCCACAUUGGGACUGAGAUACGGCCCAGACUCCUACGGGAGGCAGCAGUGGGGAAUAUUGCACAAUGGGCGCGAGCCUGAUGCAGCGACGCCGCGGGGGGGAUGACGGCCUUCGGGUUGGAAACUCCUUUCGCUAGGGACGAAGCUUUUUGUGACGGUACCUAGAUAAGAAGCACCGGCUAACUACGUG
This 465-nucleotide ribosomal RNA is filed under the name uncultured bacterium. RNAcentral's name for it is "partial 16S ribosomal RNA". It matches the Rfam family "Bacterial small subunit ribosomal RNA", at positions 28 to 507 of the family's 1533-position model. The record is from RNAcentral.